UGACCGCUGGCGGCGUGCCUAAUACAUGCAAGUCGAGCGAACAGACGAGGAGCUUGCUCCUCUGACGUUAGCAGCGGACGGGUGAGUAACACGUGGAUAACCUACCUAUAAGACUGGGAUAACUUCGGGAAACCGGAGCUAAUACCGGAUAAUAUAUUGAACCGCAUGGUUCAAUAGUGAAAGACGGUUUUGCUGUCACUUAUAGAUGGAUCCGCGCCGCAUUAGCUAGUUGGUAAGGUAACGGCUUACCAAGGCAACGAUGCGUAGCCGACCUGAGAGGGUGAUCGGCCACACUGGAACUGAGACACGGUCCAGACUCCUACGGGAGGCAGCAGUAGGGAAUCUUCCGCAAUGGGCGAAAGCCUGACGGAGCAACGCCGCGUGAGUGAUGAAGGUCUUCGGAUCGUAAAACUCUGUUAUUAGGGAAGAACAAAUGUGUAAGUAACUAUGCACGUCUUGACGGUACCUAAUCAGAAAGCCACGGCUAACUACGUG
This 495-nucleotide ribosomal RNA is filed under the name uncultured bacterium. Its description in RNAcentral is "partial 16S ribosomal RNA". It matches the Rfam family "Bacterial small subunit ribosomal RNA", at positions 30 to 507 of the family's 1533-position model. The record is from RNAcentral.